GACGUGCGUCUGUGGAGGAGCGC
Molecule: non-coding RNA, 23 nt
Filed under: Cricetulus griseus (Chinese hamster)
Lineage: Eukaryota; Metazoa; Chordata; Mammalia; Rodentia; Cricetidae
Source: RNAcentral